UUCAUGAUUCAGACCUUGGUGAGUGGCGGACGGGUGAGUAACACGUGGGUAACCUGCCCAGAAGUGGGGGAUAACAUUUGGAAACAAGUGCUAAUACCGCAUAACAACUUAGAUCACAUGAUCUUUGUUUAAAAGAUGGUUUUGCUAUCUCUUCUGGAUGGACCCGCGGCGUAUUAGCUAGUUGGUGAGGUAAUAGCUCACCAAGGCGAUGAUACGUAGCCGACCUGAGAGGGUAAUCGGCCACAUUGGGACUGAGACACGGCCCAGACUCC
This 272-nucleotide ribosomal RNA is filed under the name uncultured Lactobacillus sp. Its description in RNAcentral is "partial 16S ribosomal RNA". It matches the Rfam family "Bacterial small subunit ribosomal RNA", at positions 71 to 339 of the family's 1533-position model. The record is from RNAcentral. Lineage: Bacteria; Bacillati; Bacillota; Bacilli; Lactobacillales; Lactobacillaceae.